AUUUAUAUAGUUUACUUAAAACAUUACAUUUUCAAUGUAAAAUCAGAUAAAUUUUAUCUUAUAAAUU
RNAcentral lists this transfer RNA (67 nucleotides) under Neolema sp. EMHAU-15071012. RNAcentral's name for it is "tRNA-Glu". The record is from RNAcentral. Lineage: Eukaryota; Metazoa; Arthropoda; Insecta; Coleoptera; Chrysomelidae.